Molecule: long non-coding RNA, 1178 nt
Organism: Heterocephalus glaber (naked mole-rat)
Lineage: Eukaryota; Metazoa; Chordata; Mammalia; Rodentia; Bathyergidae
Source: Ensembl
GGCCCUGUGGUCCUGGCCUGGCCUCCUUUGGGACAGAGAUCCUAUGAUUGAGUCUCCCAAAUGCCCUGCCAAUCUGCUGCUCAAGCUCCUUGCUUGCCCUUCUGUAUUUCCUCUGAAGUAUAUUUUGUUGCCAUUUUCCGGUCAAAUAUUUUAAAACUUAGAUAUUUGGUUUUUAGUGGUUCCUUUGUGAAUUCAGUUCUUCCUCUAAAGGUACUCUCUUUUAUGUUAUGUGGAAUUUGUUGCUGGAUUGCCCUGUCACCACCACCAAAGGCUCAGAUAUUCUUUCUUCUCCAAUUUAACUCCAGUUUGUCAGCUGCUGAGUGGUGUAAAAUUCUUUUGCCGAGGAACAAGACCAUCCCAGUCAACUCCAUCCCACAGCCUGGCCAGUCAGCAGAGCGGACACCAUCUUAGGCCUCUUAUUUUUUCUUUUGCCCAAGUGUCUGAAAGGAGCAUCCUCUUUAAUUUAAGCCUACAUGUGGAGUAAUGACGAAGAAGCAGCAUAACAUUUUUGGAAAGCAAUGUGGAAAAAUAUAUCUCAAGCCAGAAAGAUGUUUGUACCAUUUUAUCCAGUAAUCCCACACUUGGAAUUUAUCCUAGAGAAAUAGAUCAACAGAAGAAAAAGCAGCAGCAGUGUAUGAAGCUCCGUGCUAUGAGACAGUGGAGACAAACUGGAUGCCAAACACAAUGAACAUCCUUGCCUGUGACUCCCGAACAACAUAAACAGCUGUUUCUUGAAGACAGACAAGGAAGAGUAAAAUGGUUGGGAGAGAGAGAGUCUAUACAUUAAUGUCCAGCACCGAGUGAGCCCUUGUGAAGUGUGGACCUUGGAGAGCAUGUCAAGCAGUCUCAUUCAUUUUAACAAAUGCACCGUACUGGUGGGGGAUGAGGAGAAAGGACCAGGUGGGGGCACAAGCCUAUUGGGAAACCUGACUUCCCUCCUUUACUCUUCUCCUCCCUGUGAUGUCUGGAGCCGUACGCACAGCUAUCCCUACCAUGGUUCUUGACCCCUCCCUCCAGCCACCUAUGUUGCCAGUGAGAUGCCCUCUGGCCCUUCCCAGCCUGCUGCCCACUGCUCGGCACCCAGGACCCUCUUGGCUGCCUGUCAGGUGCCAGCCUCAUUUCCUAUGCAGCCACUUGCAGGAGGGCCAGGGCCAUCUCCCGGACAGUUCCACCUGAGU